GUCACUGAGUGGUGCGCUGUCCCGCAGGGGUGCACUGUCCCGCAGCGGUGCACUGUUGCGCAGUGGUGCACUGUCAUGCAGGGGUGCACUGUUGCGCAGUGGUGCACUGUCAUGCAGGGGUGUACUGUCGCUCAGUGGUGCACUGUCGCACAGGGGUGCACUGUCGUGCAGGGGUGCACUGUCCCGCAGGGGUGCACUGUCACUCAGUGGUGCACUGUCAUGCAGGGGUGCACUGUCGCUCAGUGGUGCACUGUCCAGCAGGGGUGCACUGUCACUCAAUGGUGCACUGUCCAGCAGGGGUGCACUGUCACACAGUGGUGCACUGUGGUGCAGUGGCGCACUGUCUGCAUGGGUGCACUGUCACGCAGGGGUGCACUGUCCCGCAGUGGUGCACUGUCGUGUAGGGGUGCACCGUCCCCCAGGUGUGCACUGCCCCACAGGGGUGCACCAUUCCACAGUGGUGCACUGUCCCGCAGGGGUGCACCAUCCCGCAGUGGUGCACUGUCACAGUGUCCCCCACCCCAGGCUGCUCUGCACAAGAGGGAGAAACAGCUGCUUCCACCCUGCCAAGCACAGCAGUGGGGCAGGCCCCAUGCCAGGCAUCUUCCCAGAUGCAGUGUCAGGUGACACGUCCUCAUGACGGUCCUGGAAAGCUGUCAUGAUUCCUACCCUGAGUUUACAGAUGAAGAAACUGCAGCUGAGAGAGGCAUAGAGCACCCACAGCCCUGUGGCUCCCAGCAGGCAGAGACUGCCCUGAGCCACCCUAGGGAGAGCAGGCCCGUAUGCUAAGGGCUCUCCACUUGCCUCUCAGCAUCCGCUCUCCAGCCUCCUCUCCCUGUGCGCCCCGAGGCUGGCCCCUCCUACCCCGCAUCCCUCAGCUCUCUGUCCUCCGGCAUCCCACUGGGCUCUUGGGUUUGGCCAACAGAGGCAGCAGCAGAAGGUCAGAGGACGGGAGAGAGAAGUGAGAGUGUCUGCCCCCCCAGCGGCCUCCUGGCUGUCCCCCACUGCAGGCCACGGUCCUGUGGGGCAGCCCUCUCCUCUGGCUCCUGGGAGCCACCACCUCCCCCUGUCCUUCCAGGCAGGCACUCUCAGCUUCCCACUCUGCGUUGCAUCCCUGCACUCAUGCUCCUCAGUCCCCAGGAGUGGGACGCGGCUGACACACUUGGCUCCACUGACGAAGGCUGUACCCGGAGCUGAUGGUCAGAGAGACCGAACCGCGCUGUCCAGCCGCUGUGCAGCGUGGAGCCAGGAAAGGUCCAGGCGAGGGUGAGGCAGAGGGAGCUCUGAUUUGCAGCUGAGACCUCUUAGAUCAGCACGCCGGGUGUUUCUUCCUCUUUCUAUGUCACCGUCCCCAGGGAUCCGUCUGUCGCUAAACCUCUGGCUCUUUUAUUCCCUGUUCCCCCUCUCUGGGUUUGCCCCAGUUUCCAGUUUCUGUCUGCCUGGGUGUCUGUCUCGUAUUUUGUCAUUUCUACCUCUCAGUGUCAUCCCUUUCUUGGUGCCUUUCUGGCUCCUGCCUCUGUAUGUCUGUCUGUCUGUCCCUCCCUCCAUGCCUGUCUCUACCCCUUUGUGUGUGUCCGUCUGCCGCUGUCUUUACCCCUUUAACCUCUCCCUGUUUCUGCCUUUCUGCCCCUGUCUUGUCCUGUCUCUUCCUUCCCCUCUGGCUUUCUCUCUCCUGCCCUUGGCCUGCCCCUGCCCCUGGCUUUCUUUGUGGCCUGGGCAGAAGCUAUUGUCCCAACAGGGUCCCAACGGGAAACCAAACUGGCCCCCAAUUGGUUCAAAUGAAGAGACUUAACGAACGGCAUGCUUCUAGAGUUAAGGGAGGAGCUAGGGGAGUUGGAGCACCUCUGGACUAACCCUGCAGGCGGCCAUGGCCACCCCGAGGGCGCGAGGCAGUGACGUGCUGUGCACAUCCAGGGAUGGCUGAGCCCCGGACCAGGGGCCGCCCUGCGGGAGCCACGGUCAGAGGUGCGGCUGCGGCAGAGACCGGCUGAGUCUCUCCUCCCACCCUCCCGCCCCAGCUGGCUAUUCCCACUAGCUAGACCCAACAGUGGGCCAGAGGGCUCAGCCUCCCUGGGCACACGGCCGAGUAGAGAAGGGUGAGGAGCAGCCUGGGCUGGGUGUGAGCAAGGAGCAGGACAGCCAGCACAUCGAGCGCCUUCUCAGAGUCCUGGCUGAGCAGACCCUUUGGUCGUCAGCCUCCAGGGCAGGCUCCCAAGCCCCUCCUAAGCCCUCCGGAGAGCCAGUGUCUGAGGAGCUAAGGUAGGAGGUCUCAGCCCUGCUCUUUACUGUCAAGGCCAUAUCUUUCUCAAAGCUCAAGUAAGAGGAUGCUGCUGCCCUGUCCCCUCUGCUCCCAGGAAAUCACUGCUUUGCUAAAAAUUCCAAUAUAUCUGAAGCUGAGAGUUGAGUGAGUAGAUUCACAAAGUCCUCAGAAUUUCAGGCGCCUUCCAUUCUUUCGCUUUUCCUCCAUACGUGGCUUCUACCUACCUCAUGAUCCAAGAGGACUGCUCAAGCUCCAGCCAUCACACCUACAUUCUAGUCAGCAGUAUAAAAAGAACCUUGAAGGAUUCUCCUUCCAUGUAAGGUUUCCUGGGAGCCCUACAUGCUGCCAUUGACAUAUCAUGGCCCUGCCAAGCCCCAGAGGAGAUUGCGAACCAUAGUCUUUAUUCUGAGUGGGAAAAAUGCACAACAAAAGAAUUGGUGAUUCUAUUACUAAGGAAAAGGAUGAGAAUGAAUGUUAAGGUCAACUCCUAGCAGUUCUGCCACGACUGGAAUGUUUGGUACUGCAGGAUCUGGGGUGUCUAGGAAGCAGGGAGAGAGGGUAAGUGUAGCAAAGUGUUUAAGGGCAAAGGAAGGAACACAGCUCAAGCUCUCACCCCCGACUCUCUUCCCUCGGGGAGCCUCUCCCAGGAAGUCUUCCCAGCAGCUUGCUGGAGUGAGCUUUGCUUCCUGCUGCCACACUUGCAGCCACAGCACUCAGUCAUGACACACUCUGCCGAAGCUUCGGUGUCCUCCUGGCUCGUCUCCACCCUGUCAGCCAGUCCCGCUUGGUCGAAUCCAUCCUCCUCUCCCCACUUUGUCCGCCACCACCCUAGGGCAGUCCCUCUGGCUGGCAGCCUGACCCCCAACCAGCCUCCGCUGGUCCCCAGCUCUCACCUUUAUCCUGGCCCAUCCCUUCUUCAUGCAGCUGAAAAGACAGCCUUUGUGUCACUCUUCUCUUCCCCGUGACCCCCAGCUGCACUUGCAAAAACUCGCCAGGGCCGACGGCAUCCCGCGUAUGCAGAGGGCCUCUCCUCCGUCUUUCCCAUCCUCCUGCGUUCCCUGCAGUCUUUGCCUCGCCAGGGGUGUGUGUGUGUGUGUGUGUGUGUGUGUGUGUGUUUUGGUUUGCUUUUUCUUUUUUCAGUUCUGCAAACAAGCCGAGAUCUUUCCUGCCCCUCCUGCCUAUCACGCUGUCCCCACCCCUUUCUCAUCCUGUGGGGUUCAGCCUGCACUCCUCCUCCUGGGUGGCCACCCAGCCCAGCCCUUUGCCAAUUUUCUCCCUUUUGCUCAGAGUUUCUCACCAUGAUUUUGCUGUGGCUUCAUGUGUCCUUUGACUUUCUUUUUGUCUGUGUCGCUCCACUAAAACGUUAGCACCCCGAGGGCAGGAAAUAUGGCAUCUGCUCGGCACAGUGGUCCAGCAAGGGCCAUGGCCCAUAGAAGGUGUUCAAAUAAAUCAAUAAUGAAUCCUUCUCUAGCCCCCAUCAUGCCCAACUCACUGCCAAGAAAACCUCUCAGUAAAGAUGCUGUUGACCGUUUGCUUAGCAUCUAAGCCAUCCCUGCACACAUCCUGAGUUUUAUGGAGGACCCAGCGCUGGGAUUUCUUUGAGCUUGCUCUAGGAGACCUCCCACCCAGCUAUCUCUGCCUCCUCUGUCCCUUCUGCUCUCCCGGUGCAAAUACAGGCACUCACUCACCAACAAGCCUGGGAUCCAGCACCGUUCUUAAAGCACCUACUCCGUGCUGGGCACAGCUUGUCCUCACAACCAACUCCAGAAGACAGGUGAGCAAAAGGCGAGGUUCUAGUCCAAGCAAGAAACCAUGGCCCAGAGAGACUAAAUAAUUUGCCCAAGAGCACACUAGUAAGUGGGUUCAAAUCCAAGGCAGUGGGAUCCACUUGACCUCCACCGGGCUACCAGGCGGGCUGCAAGAAGGCUCUGCACCCCACCUCCCUGCAGCAUGCCCACCCGCCCUGACACCCUUCUUGCUCUUCAGCCUGAGGGUUCUGCCAGGAGCAGGAAGUCAGGUGACAGAAAGCCAAAGUGAUGUGCCAGGGUGGAUGUGGAUUUGGUCUUGGGCUGGGACAGAGCUCCGGCUCCCAGCAGGGGGGUGGUGAAAGGAGAAGAUGCAGGAGGGAUUGAUGGGGAGGUGUGACCACCCCAAUCCUGAAUGCCUCUGCUUCCUUUCCUUGCCUAUUACAUGGCUAAGCUUGCAAGGUUUGACAUUUUCCCUGAGAGCAGAGAAGGAAGGUAGCCACUCCCUGCAUCCCUCUCGCAGCCCACCUGGCAGGGCACCCUAGGGCUGAGGGAUGGGAGGAGAGGCAGGAAGAGGAGGAGUGGGUCACUAUGGGAAGGGGGGACAUCAGUGCCCCCACAGACAAAUGGGGGCUUGCCCAGGGAGGCAGUUCUGUCGGGCUUUGGGAGAGAAAGUGAGGAGAGAGGAGUCCCAAAGCCAGGGAGGAGGGGAGCAGGGAGGUGUGGCGAGUGCCAGUCAAGAAGCCCUGGGUGGGGCAGGCACUCUUCUGAGGGAUCCAGGGAGAGCCCCUCCUGGGAGGGAGAACUGUUACAAGUGGCACCCCUCUCCUCACCCCCAGAGUCUGGCCCUGUCCUCCUACCUCACCCCUGCCCAGCCCAGCCUGGGAAGGGGAGAGGGAAAGGCCCUGUCCCCAGGAUACCCUUUGUACUGCUGGCUUUUUGCUUUUUGCAGUGGAGCAGGCCCCUCUCCGAUCCCAGCUCCAGCUCUCAGGCCCAGUUGGAAUUCACCCCUCUCCCUGGGCCCCAGGCCUGUAGGGCUGGGACAGGAGGAGGGGAGGGGGUGGGGAGGUGUGGGGCCCCCCACAUGGGCCACCCUAAGGGUGGGCUAGGGCUGGCAACAGACUCUGACCCAAACUCAGACCCUGGCCCCAGCCCCGCCUGGCAGAGGAAUACUGAAAACUGAGCACAGGUCAAUGGGCAAGGUCAGGCUGGUCCCUGGCAUCCCUGAGUGCCUUCCGGAUGCCAGGCCCCUCCCCUGCCCGUGUGGGCCUUCCACCCCACCCCAACUCUCACUGUGUUCCGGGCCGGCACUGGGGAGAGGCCACCAUCUUUCAGCUCAGAAAACCUUGCUUCUCAGGAGCUGUGUGGGCUUGGGCAAGUUGCUUAACCUCUCAGAGCCUCCGUUUCCCCAUCUCUAAAAUGCCAUCUUUAAAAAUCAUCUUCCUAGGAGCCAAACAGACCUCAUGGUGUGUUAGUGAGGACCCGGGGACAGGACGCCUGAGAAGCCAAAAGCAUCUCACGCAGCUCUUUUCCAGGCCAGGCAGCCCAAGUGAGCUUCCUGGAGGAGGUGGCGGUGGGAGCUGAGGGGCCGGCAGGGGUCGCUAUCACCACCGCACUCCUUCCCUUCUCUCUGCUGCUCCCGCUCCUUUCUCUCCCCGAGAGCUGAUGCAGUUAAUUGGAGCGUCUUGAAAGUGCACAUUAACACGCAGAGAGCCAAGGAGACGUCUUGGCAGCGAAAUAUCAUUAUCACUUCUUGAGCUCCAGCCAAAAUCCCCUCGCGGUCAAAACACAAUUCUUUAAACUAAACAAUUAAAGAUU
This is a non-coding RNA of Microcebus murinus (gray mouse lemur), 5823 nucleotides long. The record is from RefSeq and is a predicted model, not a curated record. NCBI's taxonomy places the organism in Eukaryota, Metazoa, Chordata, Mammalia, Primates, Cheirogaleidae.